CCUACGGGAGGCAGCAGUGAGGAAUAUUGGUCAAUGGGCGCGAGCCUGAACCAGCCAAGUAGCGUGAAGGAUGACUGCCCUACGGGUUGUAAACUUCUUUUAUAAGGGAAUAAAGUGAAGCACGUGUGCCUUUUUGUAUGUACUUUAUGAAUAAGGAUCGGCUAACUCCGUGCCAGCAGCCGCGGUAAUACGGAGGAUCCGGGCGUUAUCCGGAUUUAUUGGGUUUAAAGGGCUCGUAGAUGGGUUGUUAAGUCAGUUGUGAAAGUUUGCGGCUCAACCGUAAAAUUGCAAUUGAUACUGGCAGCCUUGAGUACAGUAGAGGUAGGCGGAAUUCGUGGUGUAGCGGUGAAAUGCUUAGAUAUCACGAAGAACUCCGAUUGCGAAGGCAGCUUACUAAACUGCAACUGACAUUGAUGCUCGAAAGUGUGGGUAUCAAACAGGAUUAGAUACCCCGGUAGUC
This 460-nucleotide ribosomal RNA is filed under the name uncultured bacterium. Its description in RNAcentral is "partial 16S ribosomal RNA". It matches the Rfam family "Bacterial small subunit ribosomal RNA", at positions 338 to 795 of the family's 1533-position model. The record is from RNAcentral.